This 497-nucleotide ribosomal RNA is filed under the name uncultured bacterium. RNAcentral's name for it is "partial 16S ribosomal RNA". It matches the Rfam family "Bacterial small subunit ribosomal RNA", at positions 38 to 507 of the family's 1533-position model. The record is from RNAcentral.
GGGGGGGGGGGGGGGGGGGGGGGGGGGGGGGGGGGGGGGGGAAGGGGGGGGGGGCGUGCGCGUGUGACGUUGGGGGGGGCCGGGGGAGUGACACGUGGGUGACGUAGCUGUACGACUGGGAUGACGUGGGGAAAACGGAGCUACUACCGGCUGAUAUAUUUGACCGCAUUGGUCAAUGGGUGAAUAGCGGUGUGCUGUCACUUAUCAGGGGCUCCUCGGCACAUUAGCUAGUUGUUAAGGUAACGGGUUACUAAGGCAACGAUCCGUAGUCGACCUGAGAGGGUGAUCGGCCACACUGGAACUGAGACACGGUCCAGACUCCUACGGGAGGCAGCAGUAGGGAAUCUUCCGCAAUGGGCGAAAGCCUGACGGAGCAACGCCGCGUGAGUGAUGAAGGUCUUCGGAUCGUAAAACUCUGUUAUUAGGGAAGAACAAAUGUGUAAGUAACUAUGCACGUCUUGACGGUACCUAAUCAGAAAGACACGGCUAACUACGUG